Molecule: non-coding RNA, 30 nt
Filed under: Mus musculus (house mouse)
Lineage: Eukaryota; Metazoa; Chordata; Mammalia; Rodentia; Muridae
Source: RNAcentral
UACCUGUUUGAGGUCCUCCUGGCUGGCAUA